Non-coding RNA from Pelobates cultripes (western spadefoot toad), 1225 nucleotides. NCBI's taxonomy places the organism in Eukaryota, Metazoa, Chordata, Amphibia, Anura, Pelobatidae. The record is from the annotation of a GenBank genome assembly.
CGGCUGGCAGGCCCAGGCCCCCUUGGAAGAUGGGUUUACUCAGAAUCGCUGACGCCACUCUUAUUUUCUUGUGUGCCCAUACAAAUGUUGUGUAUAUGCGUUGCAGCUUGGUCAGGUACUUGUUUGGGAGGAAAAUCUGCAGUGUUCUUAUGAGAUAUUGGAACUUAGGGAGUAAAACCAUUUUCAGGGCAGUCAGCCUACCUACCCAUGACAGAUAUUUGUGUUCCCAACUUUUCAGUGUUUCUUCGCUCUCCUUCAGGAGUUUGCCAUAAUUGAGCUGCAGCAGUUGGUUAGGAUGCUUUGGUAGUUUUAAUCCCAGGAAAGUGAUGUAGUCCCCCCUCCAGUCGAAUUGGAAAUUGUCUUUUAGUUUGUCUAUCGAGGCCUGUGUCAUCCUUAUCCCCAUGGCUUGUGUCUUGGUAACGUUCAGUGUAUAGUAAGACUGAUCCCCAUACUCCUUGAUUUCGGCAAGAAUGUUUGGUAGUGAGAUAUGUGGCUGUGUAAUUGUCAACAUAAUGUCAUCUGCAAAAAGUCCUGCUUUGUAUUCCCUCUUCCCCACCUGAAUCCCGUGUAUGUUUCUGUUUUCUCUGAAUCGUGGGGCUAAUGGUUCUAGGGCUAGGAUGUACAAUAGUGGCGACAGGGGGCAUCCUUGUCUUGUUCCGUUGGAGAGCCGAAACGGCUCCGAUAGGAACCCCGAGUUUAACACUCGUGCCUCGGGUAAGCUGUAUAGUGCGUCCACUACUGCUCCAAAUUCGUCCGGUAUUCCAAACUUGCGUAAGACCGCUUUUAAAAACCCCCAGUGUAGCCUGUCAAAGGCCUUUUCGGUGUCCAGGGAGAGGAACAGUCCUCCCUCUUUUUCUGUCUGUAGUUUGUAUAGCAGGUUUAUGGCUUUCCUUGUGUUGUCUGACCCCUGUCUCCCCUUUACAAAUUCCACCUGGCCGUUGUGAAUGAUGUGUGGUAUGAUUAGUCCCAGUCUCGUAGCAUAUAGUUUGGCGAAAAGCUUUGCGUCUGUGUUUAGAAGUGAAAUAGGACGAAAAUUUUUCGGCGUUGUGGGUGGUUUGUUGGGUUUUGGCAAUGUAACGAUAUGUGCUAACAACCAGGCCCGGACUGGCCAUCGGGCACAGCGGGCAAAUGCCCGGUGGGCCGCGGGGCCGAGGCCGGCAGGGGAGGUCCCAGGAUCUCCCCUGCCGGUCUAUGCAGGGCCGGCACUCUCCUAGCGCCGGCCCCG